GACGAACGCUGGCGGCGUGCCUAAUACAUGCAAGUCGAACGCAGUGGGGACGGGUGAGUAACCCGUGGGUAACCUCCCAUCAGAGGGGAUAACACUUGGAAACAGGUGCUAAACCGAUACUGAUGGAUGGACCCGCGGUGCAUUAGCUAGUUGGUGAGGUAACGGCUCACCAGGGCCACGAUGCGUAGCCGACCUGAGAGGCGGAUCGUCCAAACGGGGAAUGAGACACGGCCCAGACUCCUACGUGAGGCAGCAGUAGGGAAGCUUCGGCAAUGGACGAAAGUCUGACCGAGCAACGCCGCGUGGGUGAAGAAGGUUUUCGGAUCGUAAAACUCUGUUUUUAGAGAAGCGGUAUCUAACCAGAAAGCCACGGCUAACUACGUGCCAGCAGCCGCGGUAAUUC
RNAcentral lists this ribosomal RNA (403 nucleotides) under uncultured bacterium. RNAcentral describes it as "partial 16S ribosomal RNA". It matches the Rfam family "Bacterial small subunit ribosomal RNA", at positions 28 to 526 of the family's 1533-position model. The record is from RNAcentral.